This 466-nucleotide ribosomal RNA is filed under the name Vreelandella stevensii. Its description in RNAcentral is "partial 16S ribosomal RNA". It matches the Rfam family "Bacterial small subunit ribosomal RNA", at positions 338 to 796 of the family's 1533-position model. Lineage: Bacteria; Pseudomonadati; Pseudomonadota; Gammaproteobacteria; Oceanospirillales; Halomonadaceae. The record is from RNAcentral.
CCUACGGGGGGCUGCAGUGGGGAAUAUUGGACAAUGGGGGGAACCCUGAUCCAGCCAUGCCGCGUGUGUGAAGAAGGCCCUCGGGUUGUAAAGCACUUUCAGUGAGGAAGAACGCCUGGUGGUUAAUACCCAUCAGGAAAGACAUCACUCACAGAAGAAGCACCGGCUAACUCCGUGCCAGCAGCCGCGGGAAUACGGAGGGUGCGAGCGUUAAUCGGAAUUACUGGGCGUAAAGCGCGCGUAGGUGGCUUGAUAAGCCGGUUGUGAAAGCCCCGGGCUCAACCUGGGAACGGCAUCCGGGACCUGUUGAGCUAGGGAUGAGAGAGGGAAGCGAGAUUCCAGGGGGAGCGGGGAAAUGCCGUGGUGACUGGGGGGACAACCGGUGGGGAAGGCGGCUUCUGGGCCAGUACCGACGCUGGGGGGGGGAAGCCUGGGGUACAAACAAGAUUUAAAUCCCGUAGAGGCC